This 390-nucleotide RNase P RNA is filed under the name Phaeobacter sp. 22II1-1F12B. Its description in RNAcentral is "Bacterial RNase P class A". It matches the Rfam family "Bacterial RNase P class A". From Rfam's summary of the family: Ribonuclease P (RNase P) is a ubiquitous endoribonuclease, found in archaea, bacteria and eukarya as well as chloroplasts and mitochondria. Its best characterised activity is the generation of mature 5'-ends of tRNAs by cleaving the 5'-leader elements of precursor-tRNAs. Lineage: Bacteria; Pseudomonadati; Pseudomonadota; Alphaproteobacteria; Rhodobacterales; Roseobacteraceae. The record is from Rfam by way of RNAcentral.
GCGGAGAGCCGGAUGGCCGCGGGGCGUAAAGCCCCGAGGAAAGUCCGGACUCCAAGAAGCAACGGUGCCGGGUAACGCCCGGGCGGGGUAACCCGACGGAUAGCGCCACAGAGAACAGACGGCCCCGCAGGUCGGGGUCAGGGUGAAACGGUGGGGUAAGAGCCCACCGCGCCGCUGGCAACAGGGGCGGCAAGGCAAGCCCCACCGGGAGCAAUGCCAAAUAGGACCCCCGCGCGGGCUGGUCCCCUUGGGGAUACCGCCGCUAGGCUCGCUUUUGCCGAGAGGGGUCGGGUUGGCAGCUAAAGGUGCAUGGCAACAUGUACCGUAGAUGAAUGGUCAUCGAAGGGGGCAACCCCGGAACAAAAUCCGGCUUACAGGCUCUCCGCGCGU